GAAAUAUGAUUAAUCAAUUAAAGGCUUCUAACUUUUUAAUUUAAUGGAAUUUAAACCAUUAAUAUUUCU
This 69-nucleotide transfer RNA is filed under the name Trichosia splendens. RNAcentral's name for it is "tRNA-Ser". Lineage: Eukaryota; Metazoa; Arthropoda; Insecta; Diptera; Sciaridae. The record is from RNAcentral.